AGAGUUUGAUCCUGGCUCAGAACGAACGCUGGCGGCGUGCCUAACACAUGCAAGUCGAACGAGAAAGUUCCUUCGGGGACGAGUACAGUGGCGCACGGGUGAGUAACGCGUGAGUAACCUGCCCUCAAGUCCGGGAUAACCCCCGCCGAAAGGUGAGCUAAUACCGGAUAAGACCACGAAUCAUAAGGUUAGUGGUAAAAGGUGGCCUCUAUUUAUAAGCUAUUGUUUGGGGAUGGGCUCGCGGACCAUUAGCUAGUUGGUGGGGUAACGGCCUACCAAGGCUACGAUGGUUAGCUGGUCUGAGAGGAUGAUCAGCCACACUGGCACUGAGACACGGGCCAGACUCCUACGGGAGGCAGCAGUGGGGAAUAUUGCGCAAUGGGGGAAACCCUGACGCAGCAACGCCGCGUGGAGGAUGAAGGCUUUCGGGUCGUAAACUCCUGUCAAGUGGGAAGAAAUGCUUAUUGGUUAAUAUCUGAUAGGUUUGACGGUACCAUUGGAGGAAGCAUCGGCUAACUACGUGCCAGCAGCCGCGGUAAUACGUAGGAUGCAAGCGUUGUUCGGAAUUAUUGGGCGUAAAGAGCGUGUAGGCGGCUCUGUAAGUCAUUGGUGAAAUCCCUCGGCUCAACCGGGGAACGUGCCCUCGAUACUGCAUGGCUUGAGUGCGAGAGAGGAGAGUGGAAUUCCCCAGUGUAGCGGUGAAAUGCGUAGAUAUUGGGAAGAACACCCAGUGGCGAAAGGCGGCUCCUCUGGACCGUUACUGACGCUGAGACGCGAAAGCUAGGGGAGCGAACGGGAUUAGAUACCCCGGUAGUCCUAGCCCUAAACGAUGGGCACUAGGUGUAGGAGGUGUCGACCCCUCCUGUGCCGUAGCUAACGCAUUAAGUGCCCCGCCUGGGGAGUAUGGUCGCAAGGCUGAAACUCAAAGGAAUUGACGGGGGCCCGCACAAGCGGUGGAGCAUGUGGUUUAAUUCGACGCAACGCGAAGAACCUUACCUGGGCUUGAACUGUACUCGAAGACACCAGAAACGGUGUUGUGCUUCGGCACGGGUAUAGAGGUGCUGCAUGGCUGUCGUCAGCUCGUGUCGUGAGAUGUUGGGUUAAGUCCCGCAACGAGCGCAACCCUCGCCCUCUGUUGCCAGCGGGUUAUGCCGGGGACUCUAGGGGAACUGCCGGUGCUAAACCGGAGGAAGGUGGGGAUGACGUCAAGUCCUCAUGGCCCUUAUGCCCAGGGCUACACACGUGCUACAAUGGUAUGUACAAAGAGUUGCGAACUCGCGAGGGUAAGCUAAUCUCAUAAAACAUAUCUCAGUUCGGAUAGGAGUCUGCAACUCGACUCCUUGAAGUUGGAAUCGCUAGUAAUCGCAGAUCAGCAUGCUGCGGUGAAUACGUUCCCGGGCCUUGUACACACCGCCCGUCACACCAUGAGAGUUGAUGGUACCAGAAGUCGGUGGACCAACUUUUCGGAGAGGUAGCCGCCUAAGGUAUGGCUGGUGAUUGGGGUGAAGUCGUAACCAAGGUAACCC
Molecule: ribosomal RNA, 1526 nt
Filed under: uncultured prokaryote
Description: partial 16S ribosomal RNA
Rfam family: Bacterial small subunit ribosomal RNA
Source: RNAcentral